Molecule: ribosomal RNA, 279 nt
Filed under: uncultured bacterium
Lineage: Bacteria
Description: partial 16S ribosomal RNA
Rfam family: Bacterial small subunit ribosomal RNA
Source: RNAcentral
UGCCAGCAGCCGCGGUAAUACGGAGGGUGCAAGCGUUGUCCGGAUUUAUUGGGUUUAAAGGGUGCGUAGGCGGUCUAUUAAGUCAGUGGUGAAAGUCUGUAGCUCAACUAUAGAAGCGCCAUUGAUACUGGUAGACUUGAGUAUACCAUAAGUAGGCGGAAUUUAUGAUGUAGCGGUGAAAUGCAUAGAUAUCAUAAAGAACUCCGAUAGCGAAGGCAGCUUACUUGAGUAUAACUGACGCUGAUGCACGAAAGCGUGGGUAGCGAACAGGAUUAGAUA